UACACUCCUGCGGGAGGCAGCAGUGGGGAAUUUUGGACAAUGGGCGAAAGCCUGAUCCAGCAAUGCCGCGUGAGUGAAGAAGGCCUUCGGGUUGUAAAGCUCUUUUGUCAGGGAAGAAACGGUGAGAGCUAAUAUCUCUUGCUAAUGACGGUACCUGAAGAAUAAGCACCGGCUAACUACGUGCCAGCAGCCGCGGUAAUACGUAGGGUGCAAGCGUUAAUCGGAAUUACUGGGCGUAAAGCGUGCGCAGGCGGUUUUGUAAGUCUGAUGUGAAAUCCCCGGGCUCAACCUGGGAAUUGCAUUGGAGACUGCAAGGCUAGAAUCUGGCAGAGGGGGGUAGAAUUCCACGUGUAGCAGUGAAAUGCGUAGAUAUGUGGAGGAACACCGAUGGCGAAGGCAGCCCCCUGGGUCAAGAUUGACGCUCAUGCACGAAAGCGUGGGGAGCAAACAGGAUUAGAUACCCCUGUAGUCCCAUGAU
RNAcentral lists this ribosomal RNA (478 nucleotides) under uncultured organism. RNAcentral's name for it is "partial 16S ribosomal RNA". It matches the Rfam family "Bacterial small subunit ribosomal RNA", at positions 332 to 801 of the family's 1533-position model. The record is from RNAcentral.